GAUGAACGCUGGCGGCGUGCUUAACACAUGCAAGUCGAACGAUGAUGCCCAGCUUGCUGGGUGGAUUAGUGGCGAACGGGUGAGUAACACGUGAGUAACCUGCCCUUGACUCUGGGAUAAGCCUGGGAAACUGGGUCUAAUACCGGAUACGACCAUCUGGCGCAUGUCAUGGUGGUGGAAAGCUUUUGUGGUUUUGGAUGGACUCGCGGCCUAUCAGCUUGUUGGUGGGGUAAUGGCCUACCAAGGCGACGACGGGUAGCCGGCCUGAGAGGGUGACCGGCCACUCUGGGACUGAGACACGGCCCCGACUCCUACGGGAGGCAGCAGUGGGGAAUAUUGCACAAUGGGCGCAAGCCUGAUGCAGCGACGCCGCGUGAGGGAUGACGGCCUUCGGGUUGUAAACCUCUUUCAGUAGGGAAGAAGCGAAAGUGACGGUACCUGCAGAAGAAGCGCCGGCUAACUACGUG
Molecule: ribosomal RNA, 467 nt
Filed under: uncultured bacterium
Lineage: Bacteria
Description: partial 16S ribosomal RNA
Rfam family: Bacterial small subunit ribosomal RNA
Source: RNAcentral